GUGUUUCUACAUCAAGACUGAAAUCAGCUCGUAACUGGCUGGAUAAAGUUACAUGUCGACCACAUGAUUCAAAUCUGUGGCAGUGUCCAUCUUCACCCUGGGGACAGAAUGAUUGUAAUAAGGAUGAAGUGGCCAAAAUCACCUGCUCAAAGGAGGAGAAUCAUGAGUCUCCUCGGAGUCAUCUGACAUGUUUUGCCUUUCCAUCUCCUCAACAGAAACAGUGUUCAAAGCAUCUUCCUCUCAGACUGAGUGGAGGGGAGGGCCGGUGCUCUGGGAGGCUG
Molecule: long non-coding RNA, 281 nt
Organism: Cyprinus carpio (common carp)
Lineage: Eukaryota; Metazoa; Chordata; Actinopteri; Cypriniformes; Cyprinidae
Exons: 3
Source: RefSeq, a predicted model, not a curated record